UCCCACACUUAGACAGUGGAGUUGUCAUGU
Molecule: non-coding RNA, 30 nt
Filed under: Rattus norvegicus (Norway rat)
Lineage: Eukaryota; Metazoa; Chordata; Mammalia; Rodentia; Muridae
Source: RNAcentral